RNAcentral lists this signal recognition particle RNA (318 nucleotides) under Methanosarcina acetivorans C2A. Its description in RNAcentral is "7S ribosomal RNA". It matches the Rfam family "Archaeal signal recognition particle RNA". The record is from RNAcentral. Lineage: Archaea; Methanobacteriati; Methanobacteriota; Methanomicrobia; Methanosarcinales; Methanosarcinaceae.
UGAUGAGCUAGUCCGGGUAGCCCGGCGUUACCUGUAACCCGAAAUCGCCGAUAUGCGGGGGACGAAGCCAAUGGAAGAUGCGUCAAAGGGAUUCCAGCCUGUGAUCUCAACUGAGAAACCCCGUCCUGCUUGGAUGAUGCAGGUAUGUGGACUUGCUGGAAAACAGGUCCUCAUACCCUAACUGCGGAAACCGGUCGAGGCCCGGAAGGGAGCAGACUCACUGUGGGCAACCGUCGCUUGCGGGGUCGCGGGGUGGAGAAGAGAUUCCAGUCUACUGAAAUCUCCCAGAUACAACGACCUGCGGUGUGCUCAUCACUA